Molecule: ribosomal RNA, 460 nt
Filed under: uncultured bacterium
Lineage: Bacteria
Description: partial 16S ribosomal RNA
Rfam family: Bacterial small subunit ribosomal RNA
Source: RNAcentral
CCUACGGGGGGCUGCAGUGAGGAAUAUUGGUCAAUGGGAGAGAUCCUGAACCAGCCAAGCCGCGUGAGGGAAGACGGCCCUAUGGGUUGUAAACCUCUUUUGUCGGAGAACAAAACCCGGGACGUGUCCCGGACUGCGUGUAUCCGAAGAAAAAGCAUCGGCUAACUACGUGCCAGCAGCCGCGGGAAUACGUAGGUGGCAAGCGUUGUCCGGAAUUACUGGGUGUAAAGGGAGCGCAGGCGGGAAGCCAAGUCAGCUGUGAAAACUACGGGCUUAACUUGUAGACUGCAGUUGAAACUGGUUUUCUUGAGUGAAGUAGAGGUUGGCGGAAUUCCGAGUGUAGCGGUGAAAUGCGUAGAUAUUCGGAGGAACACCGGUGGCGAAGGCGGCCAACUGGGCUUUAACUGACGCUGAGGCUCGAAAGUGUGGGGAGCAAACAGGAUUAGAAACCCCGGUAGUC